This 221-nucleotide ribosomal RNA is filed under the name uncultured bacterium. RNAcentral's name for it is "partial 16S ribosomal RNA". It matches the Rfam family "Bacterial small subunit ribosomal RNA", at positions 111 to 334 of the family's 1533-position model. The record is from RNAcentral.
UAAUGUAUGGGGAUCUGCCCGAUAGAGGGGGAUAACUACUGGAAACGGUGGCUAAUACCGCAUAAUGUCUACGGACCAAAGCAGGGGCUCUUCGGACCUUGCCACUAUCGGAUGAACCCAUAUGGGAUUAGCUAGUAGGUGGGGUAAAGGCUCACCUAGGCGACGAUCUCUAGCUGGUCUGAGAGGAUGAUCAGCCACACUGGGACUGAGACACGGCCCAG